CGGUGUUCAACUGGCGUGCCCGCGGGACGUCCUGCCGGUGAGCUCAGCCCGCGAGGGCGGCUCAACUUGAAAUCCCAUCGCGGUGCUCUUCAUUGAGUGUCGAGGUGGGCCGGCACGAUUACUUUUGAACAAAUUAGAGUGCUUAAAGCAGGCUAAAAUUUUGCCUGAAUACUGUGUAUAUGGAAUAAUGGAAUAGGACCUCGGUUCUAUUUUGUUGGUUUUCGGAACCCCGAGGUAAUGAUUAAUAGGAACGGAUGGGGGCAUUCGUAUUGCGACGUUAGAGGUGAAAUUCUUGGAUCGUCGCAAGACGGACUAAAGCGAAAGCAUUUGCCAAAAACGCUUUCAUUGAUCAAGAACGAAAGUUAGAGGUUCGAAGGCGAUCAGAUACCGCCCUAGUUCUAACCAUAAACUAUGCCAGCUAGCGAUCCGCCGACGUCCCUCUGAUGACUCGGCGGGCAGCUUCCGGGAAACCAAAGCUUUUGGGUUCCGGGGGAAGUAUGGUUGCAAAGCUGAAACUUAAAGGAAUUGACGGAAGGGCGCCACCAGGAGUGGAGCCUGCGGCUUAAUUUGACUCAACACGGGAAACCUCACCAGGCCCAGACACUGGAAGGAUUGACAGAUUGAGAGCUCUUUCUUGAUUCAGUGGGUGGUGGUGCAUGGCCGUUCUUAGUCGGUGGAGCGAUUUGUCAGGUUAAUUCCGAUAACGGACGAGACUCUGACCUGAUAACUAGACGCACUUGCGGCAUCUCAAAGGUCCGCCGGCGGCUGGCUUUGCGCCCGUCGUCGCGCGCGAUUUUUACUGCCGGCGUACAAUAAAUUCUUCUUAGAGGGACAAGUGG
Molecule: ribosomal RNA, 839 nt
Filed under: uncultured eukaryote
Lineage: Eukaryota
Description: SSU rRNA
Rfam family: Eukaryotic small subunit ribosomal RNA
Source: RNAcentral